Molecule: ribosomal RNA, 1297 nt
Filed under: metagenome
Description: bacterial LSU rRNA
Rfam family: Bacterial large subunit ribosomal RNA
Source: RNAcentral
UAGAAGGCGAGAAAGGCUGUGUGAAUAGAAGAUAGAGCCCGUACCGCAAACCGACACAGGUAGAUAGGAAGAAGAUUCUAAGGCCAACGGGAGAAGGGUUGUUAAGGAACUCGGCAAGUUGACCCCGUAACUUAGGGAGAAGGGGUGCUCUUUAAGGAGAGCCGCAGAGAAUAGGCCCAAGCGACUGUUUAGCAAAAACACAGCUCUAUGCUAAAUCGAAAGAUGACGUAUAUGGGGUGACACCUGCCCGGUGCCGGAAGGUUAAGAGGAGGAGUGAGAGCUCUGAAUUGAAGCCCCGGUAAACGGCGGCCGUAACAAUAACGGUCCUAAGGUAGCGAAAUUCCUUGUCAGGUAAGUUCUGACCCGCACGAAUGGUGUAACGAUUUGGGCACUGUCUCAACAACCUGCCCGGCGAAAUUGUAGUACCGGUGAAGAUGCCGGUUACCCGCGACUAGACGGAAAGACCCCAUGGAGCUUUACUGCAGCUUAAUAUUGAAUUUCGGUAUUUCAUGUACAGGAUAGGUGGGAGACAGGGAACCAUAGGCGUCAGCUUAUGGGGAGUCGACCUUGGGAUACCACUCUUGAGGUGCUGGAAUUCUAACCUGUGGCUCUGAAUCGAGUCAGGGGACAUUGUUAGGCGGGCAGUUUAACUGGGGCGGUCGCCUCCAAAAAGGUAACGGAGGCGCUCAAAGGUUCGCUCAGCAUGGAUGGAAACCAUGCUUUUGAGUGUAAACGCAAAAGCGAGCCUAACUGCGAGACUGACGGGUCGAGCAGUAACGAAAGUUGGAGUUAGUGAUCCGGCGGUAUGUGAGUGGAAAUGCCGUCGCUCAACGGAUAAAAGCUACCCUGGGGAUAACAGGCUGAUCUCCCCCAAGAGUCCACAUCGACGGGGAGGUUUGGCACCUCGAUGUCGGCUCAUCGCAUCCUGGGGCUGAAUUCGGUCCCAAGGGUUUGGCUGUUCGCCAAUUAAAGCGGUACGCGAGCUGGGUUCAGAACGUCGUGAGACAGUUCGGUCCCUAUCUGUCGUGGGCGUAGGAUAUUUGAAAGGAGCUGUCCCUAGUACGAGAGGACCGGGAUGGACGCACCGCUGGUGCACCAGUUGUCAUGCCAAUGGCACAGCUGGGCAGCUAUGUGCGGAACGGAUAAACGCUGAAGGCAUCUAAGCGUGAAGCCGACCUUAAGAUAAGAUAUCCCUUCGUAAGAGUAAGACCUCUCAUAGACUAUGAGUUUGAUAGGCCUAAGGUGUAAGCACAGUGAUGUGUUCAGCCUGCAGGUACUAAUCGGUCGAGGGCUUUCC